UUCAUGUUAUGAAUAUUUUCUUGUCAAAUAACCCUUUUCCACAUCUACGUUAAGUUUUGUGCAUUUACAAUAUUCAAAAUUUUGGAGUGUAUUUCUGCAUGCUCAGAUUUAAACGGAUUAUGGUUGCUACGACCGCGGUUGGUCGACACAAUUGUUGGUGGUUGCAGUUGUGCUUCAUUGUGGACACAGAGAAUGGUGAUUGUUUUCAUGGCCUCAUGUUUGGCUGCGAUAAUGGGUAGCCUGGUCUGGCUGCUUGGUUGCUGGAGAUCUGAACAACAUUAGUUUAAUUUUGAAAAUGGCAACGUAAGGCAAAAAUAGGAGAGUUAUCAUGGUAGUGUCCGCAAAUCUUGGUCCCAAAACAAAUGACAACGGGAGAUCAAGAAGCAGUAAAUGAAUAAGACUUGU
Molecule: long non-coding RNA, 405 nt
Organism: Stomoxys calcitrans (stable fly)
Lineage: Eukaryota; Metazoa; Arthropoda; Insecta; Diptera; Muscidae
Exons: 3
Source: RefSeq, a predicted model, not a curated record